RNAcentral lists this long non-coding RNA (374 nucleotides) under Leptinotarsa decemlineata (Colorado potato beetle). RNAcentral's name for it is "uncharacterized LOC111514663, transcript variant X2". Lineage: Eukaryota; Metazoa; Arthropoda; Insecta; Coleoptera; Chrysomelidae. The record is from RNAcentral.
UUCCCAGAUACGCAGAUCGUUGCCUCCUCUAUAUUCUCAUAAGUUUGAAACUUCUCAAGAUGAACGCCGAAGGACUUUAUGAUUCCUCGAAUAAACUCCAAAAAACAUCCUGCCUACACAUCUGGGAUCUCAAACAUUAUAACUAGUCGAAGAAGAUAAUUGAAAUUGGCCCCAGAAAAAGAUUAACCGAAAAAUGCCACUACAACCGUUGUACCAGAUCUGGUAUUUGUUCAACAGGUGAAAAUGCUAGGAUUACAUCGUUUCAACAUAGAUGCUGAAGAGGUAAUAAAACAAGUAUCCAAAACAUCGAUGUCCGCCAUUGAAGAUGACAGUGUUCUACGUAUGUGCAAUUUAAUCUCUCACAUAUACUAUAU